GACGAACGCUGGCGGCGUGCUUAACACAUGCAAGUCGAACGGACAGACAGAGAGCUUGCUCUCUUGAAGUUAGUGGCGAACGGGUGAGUAACGCGUAAUCAACCUGCCCUUCAGAGGGGGAUAACAACGGGAAACCUUUGCUAAUACCGAGUACGAUUCAUGAACGGCAUCGUUUAUGAAUGAAAGGUGGCCUCUAUGUAUAAGCUAUCGCUGAAGGAGGGGAUUGCGUCUGAUUAGCUAGUUGGAGGGGUAACGGCCCACCAAGGCAAUGAUCAGUAGCCGGUCUGAGAGGAUGAACGGCCACAUUGGGACUGAGACACGGCCCAAACUCCUACGGGAGGCAGCAGUGGGGAAUCUUCCGCAAUGGACAAAAGUCUGACGGAGCAACGCCGCGUGAGUGAUGAAGGUCUUCGGAUUGUAAAGCUCUGUUAAUCGGGACGAAAGAGUUCUGCGUGAAUAAUGCAGAAAAGUGACGGUACCGGAAUAGAAAGCCACGGCUAACUACGUGCCAGCCGCCGCAGUAA
RNAcentral lists this ribosomal RNA (524 nucleotides) under uncultured bacterium. RNAcentral's name for it is "partial 16S ribosomal RNA". It matches the Rfam family "Bacterial small subunit ribosomal RNA", at positions 28 to 523 of the family's 1533-position model. The record is from RNAcentral.